RNAcentral lists this ribosomal RNA (735 nucleotides) under uncultured Fusobacterium sp. Its description in RNAcentral is "bacterial SSU rRNA". It matches the Rfam family "Bacterial small subunit ribosomal RNA", at positions 28 to 776 of the family's 1533-position model. Lineage: Bacteria; Fusobacteriati; Fusobacteriota; Fusobacteriia; Fusobacteriales; Fusobacteriaceae. The record is from RNAcentral.
GAUGAACGCUGACAGAAUGCUUAACACAUGCAAGUCAACUUGAAUUUGGGUUUUUAACUUAGAUUUGGGUGGCGGACGGGUGAGUAACGCGUAAAGAACUUGCCUCACAGCUAGGGACAACAUUUAGAAAUGAAUGCUAAUACCUGAUAUUAUGAUUUUAAGGUAUCUUAGAAUUAUGAAAGCUAUAAGCACUGUGAGAGAGCUUUGCGUCCCAUUAGCUAGUUGGAGAGGUAACAGCUCACCAAGGCGAUGAUGGGUAGCCGGCCUGAGAGGGUGAACGGCCACAAGGGGACUGAGACACGGCCCUUACUCCUACGGGAGGCAGCAGUGGGGAAUAUUGGACAAUGGACCGAAAGUCUGAUCCAGCAAUUCUGUGUGCACGAUGAAGUUUUUCGGAAUGUAAAGUGCUUUCAGUUGGGAAGAAAGAAAUGACGGUACCAACAGAAGAAGUGACGGCUAAAUACGUGCCAGCAGCCGCGGUAAUACGUAUGUCACGAGCGUUAUCCGGAUUUAUUGGGCGUAAAGCGCGUCUAGGUGGUUAUGUAAGUCUGAUGUGAAAAUGCAGGGCUCAACUCUGUAUUGCGUUGGAAACUGUAUAACUAGAGUACUGGAGAGGUAAGCGGAACUACAAGUGUAGAGGUGAAAUUCGUAGAUAUUUGUAGGAAUGCCGAUGGGGAAGCCAGCUUACUGGACAGAUACUGACGCUAAAGCGCGAAAGCGUGGGUAGCAAACAGG